GGAAGCAGGCAGAUCCCCUUCGGGGGUGAUGCCUGUGGAAUGAGCGGCGGACGGGUGAGUAACACGUGGGCAACCUGCCUGUAAGAUCGGAAUAACUCCGGGAAACCGGGGCUAAUGCCGGGUAAUCCUUUUUCUCGCAUGGGAGAGAGGUAAAAGAUGGCCUUUGGCUAUCACUUACAGAUGGGCCCGCGACGCAUUAGCUAGUUGGUGAGGUAAUAGCUCACCAAGGCGACGAUGCGUAGCCGACCUGAGAGGGUGAUCGGCCACACUGGGACUGAGACACGGCCCAGAYUCCUACGGGAGGCAGCAGUAGGGAAUCUUCCGCAAUGGACGAAAGUCUGACGGAGCAACGCCGCGUGAACGAUGAAGGUCUUCGGAUCGUAAAGUUCUGUUGUUAGGGAAGAACAAGUACCGUGCGAAUAGAGCGGUACCUUGACGGUACCUAACGAGGAAGCCCCGGCUAACUACGUGCCAGCAGCCGCGGUAAUACGUAGGGGGCAAGCGUUGUCCGGAAUUAUUGGGCGUAAAGCGCGCGCAGGCGGUUUCUUAAGUCUGAUGUGAAAGCCCACGGCUCAACCGUGGAGGGUCAUUGGAAACUGGGGAACUUGAGGACAGAAGAGGAGAGUGGAAUUCCACGUGUAGCGGUGAAAUGCGUAGAUAUGUGGAGGAACACCAGUGGCGAAGGCGACUCUCUGGUCUGUUUCUGACGCUGAGGUGCGAAAGCGUGGGUAGCAAACAGGAUUAGAUACCCUGGUAGUCCACGCCGUAAACGAUGAGUGCUAGGUGUUAGGGGGCUUCCACCCCUUAGUGCUGAAGUUAACGCAUUAAGCACUCCGCCUGGGGAGUACGGCCGCAAGGCUGAAACUCAAAGGAAUUGACGGGGGCCCGCACAAGCGGUGGAGCAUGUGGUUUAAUUCGAAGCAACGCGAAGAACCUUACCAGGUCUUGACAUCCUUGGACCGCCCUAGAGAUAGGGUCUUCCCUUCGGGGACCAAGUGACAGGUGGUGCAUGGUUGUCGUCAGCUCGUGUCGUGAGAUGUUGGGUUAAGUCCCGCAACGAGCGCAACCCCUAAUCUUAGUUGCCAGCAUUCAGUUGGGCACUCUAAGGUGACUGCCGGUGACAAACCGGAGGAAGGCGGGGAUGACGUCAAAUCAUCAUGCCCCUUAUGACCUGGGCUACACACGUGCUACAA
Molecule: ribosomal RNA, 1193 nt
Filed under: Halobacillus sp. PS21
Lineage: Bacteria; Bacillati; Bacillota; Bacilli; Caryophanales; Bacillaceae
Description: bacterial SSU rRNA
Rfam family: Bacterial small subunit ribosomal RNA
Source: RNAcentral